CAGUCGCCGCGGGAAUACAGAGGGUGCGAGCGUUAAUCGGAUUUACUGGGCGUAAAGCGUGCGUAGGCGGCUUCUUAAGUCGGAUGUGAAAUCCCUGAGCUUAACUUAGGAAUUGCAUUCGAUACUGGGAAGCUAGAGUAUGGGAGAGGAUGGUAGAAUUCCAGGUGUAGCGGUGAAAUGCGUAGAGAUCUGGAGGAAUACCGAUGGCGAAGGCAGCCAUCUGGCCUAAUACUGACGCUGAGGUACGAAAGCGUGGGGAGCAAACAGGAUUAGAUACCCCCGUAGUCCCUGUCUCUUAUAC
Molecule: ribosomal RNA, 301 nt
Filed under: uncultured bacterium
Lineage: Bacteria
Description: partial 16S ribosomal RNA
Rfam family: Bacterial small subunit ribosomal RNA
Source: RNAcentral